AGUGGCGAAAGGGGCAGUAAGGCGUGGGUAACCUACCCCGGGGACUGGGAUAGCCUUCCUAACGGAUGGGUAAUACCAGGCGAUCUGACGAGGGCGCCUGCUCUUGUCAGGAAAAGAAUUUCGCCUCGGGAGGGGCUCACGUGCUAUUAGCUAGACGGCGGGGUAACGGCCCACCGUGGCAAAGAUGGCUAGCGGGUAUGAGAGUACGACCCGCGCCACUGGCACUGAGACACUGGCCAGACACCUACGGGUGGCUGCAGUCGAGGAUCUUCGGCAAUGGGCGCAAGCCUGACCGAGCGACGCCGCGUGUGCGAUGAAGGCCUUCGGGUUGUAAAGCACUGUCGAGGGGGAGGAAAGCCGUAAGGUCUGACCUAUCCCUGGAGGAAGGACGGGCUAAGUUCGUGCCAGCAGCCGCGGUAAGACGAACCGUCCAAACGUUGUUCGGAAUCACUGGGCUUAAAGGGCGCGUAGGCGGGCCAGCCAGUCCGGGGUGAAAUCUUUCGGCUUAACCGGAAAAGUGCCUUGGA
Molecule: ribosomal RNA, 527 nt
Filed under: uncultured bacterium
Lineage: Bacteria
Description: bacterial SSU rRNA
Rfam family: Bacterial small subunit ribosomal RNA
Source: RNAcentral